RNAcentral lists this ribosomal RNA (735 nucleotides) under uncultured Propionibacterium sp. RNAcentral's name for it is "bacterial SSU rRNA". It matches the Rfam family "Bacterial small subunit ribosomal RNA", at positions 28 to 774 of the family's 1533-position model. The record is from RNAcentral. Lineage: Bacteria; Bacillati; Actinomycetota; Actinomycetes; Propionibacteriales; Propionibacteriaceae.
GACGAACGCUGGCGGCGUGCUUAACACAUGCAAGUCGAACGGAAAGGCCCUGCUUUUGUGGGGUGCUCGAGUGGCGAACGGGUGAGUAACACGUGAGUAACCUGCCCUUGACUUUGGGAUAACUUCAGGAAACUGGGGCUAAUACCGGAUAGGAGCUCCUGCUGCAUGGUGGGGGUUGGAAAGUUUCGGCGGUUGGGGAUGGACUCGCGGCUUAUCAGCUUGUUGGUGGGGUAGUGGCUUACCAAGGCUUUGACGGGUAGCCGGCCUGAGAGGAUGAUCAGCCACAUCGGGACUGAGAUACGGCCCAGACUCCUACGGGAGGCAGCAGUGGGGAAUAUUGCACAAUGGGCGGAAGCCUGAUGCAGCAACGCCGCGUGCGGGAUGACGGCCUUCGGGUUGUAAACCGCUUUCGCCUGUGACGAAGCGUGAGUGACGGUAAUGGGUAAAGAAGCACCGGCUAACUACGUGCCAGCAGCCGCGGUGAUACGUAGGGUGCGAGCGUUGUCCGGAUUUAUUGGGCGUAAAGGGCUCGUAGGUGGUUGAUCGCGUCGGAAGUGUAAUCUUGGGGCUUAACCCUGAGCGUGCUUUCGAUACGGGUUGACUUGAGGAAGGUAGGGGAGAAUGGAAUUCCUGGUGGAGCGGUGGAAUGCGCAGAUAUCAGGAGGAACACCAGUGGCGAAGGCGGUUCUCUGGGCCUUUCCUGACGCUGAGGAGCGAAAGCGUGGGGAGCGAACA